GCCCCCGUAGCUUAACGGAAGAGCGGUUCGCUUCGAACGAAUCAGGUAUGGGUUCAAGUCCUAUCGGGGGCCCCA
Molecule: transfer RNA, 75 nt
Filed under: Acidobacteriota bacterium
Lineage: Bacteria; Pseudomonadati; Acidobacteriota
Description: tRNA-Arg
Rfam family: tRNA
About the family: Transfer RNA (tRNA) molecules are approximately 80 nucleotides in length. Their secondary structure includes four short double-helical elements and three loops (D, anti-codon, and T loops).
Source: RNAcentral